This is a long non-coding RNA of Passer montanus (Eurasian tree sparrow), 819 nucleotides long. RefSeq lists it as uncharacterized. The record is from RefSeq and is a predicted model, not a curated record. The transcript has 3 exons. NCBI's taxonomy places the organism in Eukaryota, Metazoa, Chordata, Aves, Passeriformes, Passeridae.
GAGGGCGGCGGGCAGGGCGGUGGGGCUCAGCUGGGGGUGGUAGAAGGACUUCCUGCAGUUCAGCUCGCCGCCCAGGAAGGAGGGCAGCCCCGAGGCGGCGGAGAAGACGGAGGCGGCGGCGGGAGGCGGCGGAGCCGGGCCGCGUUCGGCAGUGUGAGAAUCCGCGGUGAUGAAUUGCCAGUCUCUGCCGUUAACAGGCUCGGCGAAUUCGGCGGGACCCCGAGGAGAGGGCAGAAGCGGACGCCUCCGUCCGCGCAUCUCCACUGCAAGCAGCAUUUCAGAGCCGGAGCCUCUGCGCGGAGUCGAUCGCAUCCUCCUUCCUCGCGCGGACAUCGGGAAGAAUUUCUCGAUCCGAAGGGGAAAGUAGAGGGGAAAACGUGCUGAGAGUUUCUCGGGAAAGUGGGAAGUCUGUCCCGCGGGCGCGUCUCAGCUCUGGGGGAGCUUUCCUGAGCUUUCACUUUUACACUUCUUCGAUGUUCCUAACCUGUGUUCACAACACAUACGCAUAUAUUUCCCUCUCAUAAGUUUGCGUGUAUCUAUGUAUUCAACUAUGUCUAUAUUUAUUGUCUUUCUUUCCCCGAUAUAUUAUUUUUCACAUACAGAAGUAUAUAUAAUUGUCUAACGCGGAGCAAUGCCUCGGAGAUGCCGCAUCUUUCCUACCAACAUUGUUUAAACUCUCCAUUCAUCAGCCCGGUGGAAAAGCGAUGGGAAGAACAAAUGGAAGAGAGCGGAGAGGGAAAAGACCCGAGCCGCUUUCCAUUUUUAUUAAGUAAAAUAAUAGUUAUGCCUCCCCUACAUAAACGAAAGUGUCAUAAAAAA